RNAcentral lists this long non-coding RNA (1019 nucleotides) under Salmo salar (Atlantic salmon). Its description in RNAcentral is "lncRNA (ENSSSAG00000085491.1)". Lineage: Eukaryota; Metazoa; Chordata; Actinopteri; Salmoniformes; Salmonidae. The record is from RNAcentral.
GUGUGGACCAGUGCUGGUCUGAUAGUCAUGGUGACAGUGUUAGGACUGGUCCUGCUCCUGUUCUACAGACAGAGGAGAGGAACCAGGAGAACACCAUCACCACCACCAGUCUCCUCCAACACACAACCUGACCCUACAGGAGAGGUUGACUGUGUGUAUAAGGAGAUCAGAGAGGCAGACAGACAGACAGACACACUCCCUGUGGUCAUCUCUUCAGUCUACUCUACUGUCAAAUCACCAAACUACCCUGCUGGUCAAGCCUCUGUAACCUACCCUGCUGGCCAAGCCUCUACAACGUAUCCUGCUAGUCAAGCCUCUGCAACCUACCCUGCUGGCUCUGCCACAGAUCACCCAGCUUCUCUCAUCUUCUGCAAUGUGGAUCUACUCAAAGAUUCGAGUCUCUUCAAGUCCUCCAACAGCCAGUGGAGCCCAGGAUGAUUCCAUCUAUUCUACAGCCCAGCUACCCAAAGAUACUGUAGAAUCUACAAGAUACCCUGCUGUACACCUCUCUAAUGACACUCCAGAAGAUGCCCUCUACUCUACAGCCCAGCUACCCAAAAUAAUGUAGUACUAUAUAAUCUAUACAAGAGAUGCAUCCCAAAUGGCACCCUAUUAUCUAUCCCCCAUAUAGACCCUGGUCAAAUGCAGUGCUCUAUAGCGAACAAGGUGACAUCUGGGAUGAAGGGAAGCUCCCUGUAGAGAGAUGAAGGGUUGUCACCCCAGAGCCGCCAUCUUGGAAUGACAUGAAAAAAAACUAUCCCAUUCAUGUUUCAAAUCCUCCUUGACAUAUUGUACUAAAACAGCUCAUGUGGUUUUACUGUAUAUAAUGUAUGUAAAAUAUGAACAUCUGGGUUUAAAAUCACUGUUAUCUCCAGAUUUUGUGAAAGUCAACCAACAUUAGUGUAGAUAUGUGUAAAUAUGAACUAUGUGUUUUGUCAUAUAAUCUUGGCUUCAUUUUGUCUGUUAUAAUAAUGAAGACAGUAAUGCCAUAAUAGUCAGUUGUACCUUUGAGAUUUACA